GACGAACGCUGGCGGCGUGCCUAAUACAUGCAAGUCGAACGAGUGGCGGACGGGUGAGUAAUGUCUGGGAAACUGCCCGAUGGAGGGGGAUAACUACUGGAAACGGUAGCUAAUACCGCAUACCAUCGGAUGUGCCCAGAUGGGAUUAGCUAGUAGGUGGGGUAAAGGCUCACCUAGGAGACGAUCCCUAGCUGGUCUGAGAGGAUGACCAGCCACACUGGAACAAGGACACGGUCCAGACGCCUACGGGAGGCAGCGGUGGGGAAUAUUGCACAAUGGGCGCAAGCCUGAUGCAGCCAUGCCGCGUGUAUGAAGAAGGCCUUCAGGUUGUAGAGUACUUUCAGCGAGGAGGCGUUACGCGCAGAAGAAGCACCGGCUAACUCCGUGCCAGCAGCCGCGGUAAUAC
RNAcentral lists this ribosomal RNA (406 nucleotides) under uncultured bacterium. RNAcentral describes it as "partial 16S ribosomal RNA". It matches the Rfam family "Bacterial small subunit ribosomal RNA", at positions 28 to 526 of the family's 1533-position model. The record is from RNAcentral.